AUACGUAGGUGGCGAGCGGUGUCCGGAAUUACUGGGCGUAAAGGGUGCGUAGGCGGAUAAUCAAGUCAGAUGUGAAAGUCCAUGGCUUAACUGUGGGAGUGCAUUUGAGACUGAAGAUCUAGAGUGCAGGAGAGGGAAGCGGAAUUCCUAGUGUAGCGGUGAAAUGCGUAGAUAUUAGGAAGAACACCAGUGGCGAAGGCGGCUUUCUGGACUGUAACUGACGCUGAAGCACGAAAGCGUGGGGAGCAAACAGGAUUAGAUACCCUGGUAGUCCACGCCGUAAACGAUGAUUACUAGGUGUGGGGGGUCUGACCCCCUCCGUGCCGGAGUUAACACAAUAAGUAAUCCACCUGGCAAGUACGACCGCAAGGUUGAA
RNAcentral lists this ribosomal RNA (376 nucleotides) under uncultured bacterium. RNAcentral's name for it is "bacterial SSU rRNA". It matches the Rfam family "Bacterial small subunit ribosomal RNA", at positions 523 to 898 of the family's 1533-position model. The record is from RNAcentral.